RNAcentral lists this ribosomal RNA (460 nucleotides) under uncultured bacterium. Its description in RNAcentral is "partial 16S ribosomal RNA". It matches the Rfam family "Bacterial small subunit ribosomal RNA", at positions 338 to 795 of the family's 1533-position model. The record is from RNAcentral.
CCUACGGGAGGCAGCAGUGAGGAAUAUUGGUCAAUGGACGAGAGUCUGAACCAGCCAAGUAGCGUGAAGGAUGACUGCCCUAUGGGUUGUAAACUUCUUUUAUAUGGGAAUAAAACGUUCCACGUGUGGGAUUUUGUAUGUACCAUAUGAAUAAGGAUCGGCUAACUCCGUGCCAGCAGCCGCGGUAAUACGGAGGAUCCGAGCGUUAUCCGGAUUUAUUGGGUUUAAAGGGAGCGUAGGUGGAUGGUUAAGUCAGUUGUGAAAGUUUGCGGCUCAACCGUAAAAUUGCAGUUGAAACUGGCAGUCUUGAGUACAGUAGAGGUGGGCGGAAUUCGUGGUGUAGCGGUGAAAUGCUUAGAUAUCACGAAGAACUCCGAUUGCGAAGGCAGUUCACUGGACUGCAACUGACACUGAGGCUCGAAAGUGUGGGUAUCAAACAGGAUUAGAUACCCCAGUAGUC